RNAcentral lists this ribosomal RNA (251 nucleotides) under uncultured prokaryote. RNAcentral describes it as "partial 16S rRNA". It matches the Rfam family "Bacterial small subunit ribosomal RNA", at positions 525 to 775 of the family's 1533-position model. The record is from RNAcentral.
ACGUAGGGUGCGAGCGUUAAUCGGGAUUACUGGGCGUAAAGCGUGCGCAGGCGGUUUUGUAAGACAGUGGUGAAAUCCCCGGGCUCAACCCGGGAACUGCAUUUGAUACUGCCAGUCUGGAGUGCGGUAGAGGGGGAUGGAAUUCCCGGUGUAGAGGUGAAAUGCGUAGAUAUCGGGAGGAACACCAGAGGCGAAGGCGACCCCCUGGGCCUUUACUGACGCUGAGGUGCGAAAGCGUGGGGAGCAAACAG